ACCCGUACCGCAAACCGACACAGGUGGGCGAGGCGAGUAGCCUCAGGUGAACGAGUGAAACGUGGUCAAGGAACUCGGCAUAAUGAUCCCGUAACUUCGGAAGAAGGGAUGCCCUUUCCUGUACUCAGGCUUGCCCUGAGCGCUCGAGAGGGUCGCAGUGAAUCGGCCCAAGCGACUGUUUAGCAAAAACACAGGUGCGUGCCAAGCCGCGUAAG
RNAcentral lists this ribosomal RNA (215 nucleotides) under Chloropicon mariensis. Its description in RNAcentral is "partial Bacterial large subunit ribosomal RNA". It matches the Rfam family "Bacterial large subunit ribosomal RNA", at positions 1640 to 1837 of the family's 2925-position model. Lineage: Eukaryota; Viridiplantae; Chlorophyta; Chloropicophyceae; Chloropicales; Chloropicaceae. The record is from RNAcentral.